Long non-coding RNA from Oncorhynchus kisutch (coho salmon), 633 nucleotides. RefSeq lists it as uncharacterized. The record is from RefSeq and is a predicted model, not a curated record. The transcript is spliced from 2 exons. NCBI's taxonomy places the organism in Eukaryota, Metazoa, Chordata, Actinopteri, Salmoniformes, Salmonidae.
UUUCCAUGGCAGACAUCUGUCUCGUUCCUCAAGUCUAUAAUGCUGAACGGUUCAAAGUGGAUGUUGAUCAGUUCCCAACUAUCAAAAGGCUAAACCAAACCUUACUGAAAGUAGAUGCUUUCAAAGAGAGUCAUCCGUCCUGCCAACUAGACACACCUGCUGAAAUAUGUACAUGAGAACACCUCUGAUGUCUAAGGGAGCCAGUAGUGCCACCAUCAUUAAAUGCUUCUAUAAAAUACCUUUGUCUUAUUUAAUGAGAUUGAAACCAAAGACGAUCUAUUACUUGUAUGAUGAAGUUUCGUUAUUUUAAUACUCAUAUUUACCCUCUAAGAAACAGUACAUUCACCCAUCUACACAAAUUAUGCCAAUGCUGACCAAAGUGGAUGUUACGGGAAGCAAUACAAAAUGUAAAAACAUUAACAAAUAGUGAUGUAUUAAAUCUAUAAAAAAAACAUUUACUGUACAAAUGACAAAGUACCAUACUAGCCCUCCGUUGAUCCUUCAUGUUACUGUAGAAGUUUAUGGAAAGUGAAAACGGCUGUCUGCACUUUGUUUAAAUAAUUGUUUUUUGUAAAAAAGCUGAAGUUCAGCUUACUUAAAUUCAAAUAAAACAGAAAAUUGAUUUCAGCUCUA